AUUGAACGCUGGCGGCAUGCCUUACACAUGCAAGUCGAACGGCAGCGCGGACUUCGGUCUGGCGGCGAGUGGCGAACGGGUGAGUAAUACAUCGGAACGUACCCUGUUGUGGGGGAUAACUAGUCGAAAGAUUAGCUAAUACCGCAUACGACCUGAGGGUGAAAGUGGGGACCGCAAGGCCUCACGCAGCAGGAGCGGCCGAUGUCUGAUUAGCUAGUUGGUGGGGUAAAGGCCCACCAAGGCGACGAUCAGUAGCUAGUCUGAGAGGACGAUCAGCCACACUGGGACUGAGACACGGCCCAGACUCCUACGGGAGGCAGCAGUGGGGAAUUUUGGACAAUGGGGGCAACCCUGAUCCAGCAAUGCCGCGUGUGUGAAGAAGGCCUUCGGGUUGUAAAGCACUUUUGUCCGGAAAGAAAUCGCGCUGGUUAAUACCUGGCGUGGAUGACGGUACCGGAAGAAUAAGCACCGGCUAACUACGUG
RNAcentral lists this ribosomal RNA (483 nucleotides) under uncultured bacterium. RNAcentral's name for it is "partial 16S ribosomal RNA". It matches the Rfam family "Bacterial small subunit ribosomal RNA", at positions 30 to 507 of the family's 1533-position model. The record is from RNAcentral.